AUGAACGCGCCGGAUGCUGUUAAUGUAUCACCCGAUGUACGGAACAGAACAGUUCAAUGGGCAAAAACUGUGUUAUAUUACGGGCAUAUUAAACAAGCAUAACAUAAUAAAUAAUUUGCAAAUACUUUUGAUAGAAGUACGAUAAUUGUCUACAAUAUGACUGAGGUUUUCAAUUUUAAGUCGUCCGUCCUGUGACUGUACAGUAAAGCGACGCUUACAGGAUUUCUACUGGAUUUUAUUAUACGAGUUUUAGAGGCCGAUUUUAUAAGCAACCCGCCGAGCACGUGGUGUGACGGGUACAUGACAUGUCGACAAAGCAAGCAGACCAUGUUGAGCUGGGGGAUGUGGAAGGUUGGAACAACGGACCUGAAGAUACAAUAUCCCGUUUGGCUCUACGGGUUCGAAACAGAUUCUUCAUUCUCGACCAAUUACAAAGCUACAUGGCCGCCUCAAUUCGUUGUGUUAGAGGCACACUAUUAGAUGAGGACUUGAACAAGUUCAUUUGAGCAGACACACGCAAUUUGUCAGAAUCAUACAAGUGGAUCACAUGUGCUGUCAGUGACGGACACAAAUUUGGAAAAGUUUAGUAUAAGCUCGGAUAUUAUAAAUAUGACGUUUUGGAUCAAAAGUGUUGAAGUAGGAACAUUUCUAAACUCGGAAGACCUCAUAGUUCAUUGUUUUGUGCUCGACCAACAUGGCGAGGUACGAAAAGACAACUGUACCAAAAGCUAUUCGUCUGUCUGCGUAAACGCAACUGUUCACAACGCUAUACAAUACAGAGGACGAGAGUCGCGGGUGCCAAAUAACGAUCCGACGUCAUCUAGCACACCCGUGACAUCAUCAGCGGUCACUUCAGAGUUUUUUUACGUCACUUGUUAUGUCGGAAACUAACGGGGGCGUUGAUUUAACCAAAAGUGCAGCAAAUACCCCGUUUGAUUUGAACGAUUCAACCAGCGACCCUAAAAGUAGAUAGCUCGCUUUGUGCGGAUUUAGUCAUACAUACCCCGUCCCAAUACCUAACUCUUUCCACAAUUACAAGUUUCACAAUUAAUUA
Long non-coding RNA from Dreissena polymorpha, 1054 nucleotides. RefSeq lists it as uncharacterized. Lineage: Eukaryota; Metazoa; Mollusca; Bivalvia; Myida; Dreissenidae. The transcript is spliced from 6 exons. The record is from RefSeq and is a predicted model, not a curated record.